UCGGGGCGGUGAGGGGGGGUCCCCGCCUUCGCCCCAGAGAGGAAGCCCCACUUCUCCCCGCUUCACCCCACUGUGGCCCCGCUGUAAAUAGUUGUGUGCAAAUUGGAGCUUCAACACCUGUUUCCUGUUUUUCGGGGCAUCGGCCCGGAGUGGGGAGGCCCAAGCAGAGGGCAGCGCCAUCUGUAACCCGCUGGGAAAGGCCACGCUGCCUGCAGCGGAGACGGGAGCCUGGUCCACUCCACGCGAGCUUCGCGUGUUGCUUAUUUAAAAUGUUCUCCCUUGCUCUCGUCGUAGCGUGAAGCGGAUAGUGGGUUUGGGAUUUUUUUUUUAAGAUUUAUUUAUGCAUACAAGAGCUGGCGUACAGGCCAGAGAUGCAAGGGCGAGGCGGGGGUGAGAGGGUUCUCCAGAGACAGAGUGGGGAGCAGAAAAGGCAGAUCUACCGAAAUCCACUGCUGAGCGGAGCAGCGGGGAGACAGGAGAGGUCUGCUUUGCCAUGUGGGUAGCUCCCUGGCCAGGGAUCGAACUCGUGCUGAGACUUGACCCCUUGUGCCACCAGGGAGGCCCUGGGUUUAGUUUUGUGCUUCUGUGGCGACUAGCGACGCUGACAGGCUCUUCUGGAGCUGUGGGCUGUUGGCCCGUGUCCUCUGGAGGAGCCUCUAUUCCAGUCCUCGAGUCACUUUCAAAAUUGGUUUGUCUUUUUGUUAGUCGUCAAAUGCCUCGUGUGUCCUGACCCACAGACUCUUACCUCUGCACACUGAGGCUUCGGGGCUUCUUAUUCUUGGCUGAAACCGUCUUUGGAGUAAUCCCUGCGCAGAGCGCGCUGAUGCACUGAUGGGGUUUUCUGCACCAGUGGCAGCCCUGGGAGAAACCCAGGAUGUUUCCACAAAUUUAAUGCAAAAUGAAGAGUUUCAGGUGUAGAAUGUUAGUAACUGCCACGUAUGUUUUAUGCUAAAAUGUGCAGAUUUGCUGAGUAAGCAUCAUGUCAUCUUUGAACGCGUUGGAAAAUGUUUGCUACAAAAUAAGUAGAUCAGAAUAUUUAUGGCAAGGGUUAGUAUGUUUUUGGAUUAUAUGCCUAGACGCUAGGAUGCAGAGGUUUAUCUAUUCAGUUGACUAACAUGAAAACACUGGCAGUAGGAACUGGCUCCCAUUCCUUGAAAGACUUUCUAGGUCACACCACAAAUCAAAAUGAACUGAAAUUAACCAAGUAACUGGGUGGGGGGGGGCACACGUCUCCUCUGUCCGCUGACCCCAAGUGCUGUUCCGGGGUCCAUGUCUUUGGGGAGUGUCUCCCCUUCUCCCUCAGUUGGGGUGUUUGGCCUUCAGAGUCCUGUCUCCUGUAAUCUUCCCUCCCAUCCCCCCCAUGGGGGAGCCCCUGAGGGCAGCGGGCUCACCUUUAUCAUAUGCCUCCCUUUAACACCUGCUCCUGAGGCCACUCAGUACAUGGUUCUGCGCACCCCCGGGGGUGGCCAGAGCAGGAACUGUGAAGGUGGUUUCAGUCCUGGAGGACCCCGCUGGCAUCUGCACCUUCAAGCAAGGCCUGCCCGCCGGCCCCAUCUUUCAAGGCCCUCCCUGCUCUGCUCCUCCCCCUCCUCCCCACACCCCCCACUGUACCCCUUAGGCCCUCCCUGUCCCCGGCUCUUUUCUUUCCCUGUCCCCAAUGUCACAAACUGAAAGAGCAGCUGAUUCGCAGGCCCCACUUCCAAGUGGAGACCCUCCUAUCUUUGGACAUCUCUGCUGGCGUGGCUCCUCUCCCCGACAGUGCAGACAACUCGCUGACUUUAUGACUUUGGGGGUCUGGGGACCUUGGCAGAGAUUAUGACCCUGCCCUGGCGGGAGCCUCUCUCCAAGAGCUGAGACCUUCGCACAGGGGAGCUGCUCCCUUUGGUAGAAGCUGCACAGCCACGGGGCAGCGAGUCUGAGAACCCCGUGGGACCGGGUCAUGCUGGGCUAAUUAACAGCGCCCCUGAUGUUGACGAAGCACAGGGUGACCAGGAAGCUCGGUAUGAAGACAAGACUAGUCCAUCAACAGUAUGAAGACAAGAUUAGUCCAUAUUUUGGAUGCAGCUUGAGACUUAUUUCCACUGCUGUAUAAUAUUCCACUCAAUGUACAGCUGUUGUUUACUUUGUGUUCUGCUCACAUAAGGGUUAAGGAGAGUGUGCUUACAUCAUCGCUAAAAUUUUAUGUUCUACUUCAUCAUUUAAACUGCAAUAUAAGUACUCUCCACAUCAUUAAAAACUAUUCAGUGUUAGUGUAUCUAUCUAGUUUUUACAUUUAAUGUUGUAUAUAUUGGGUGUUUUUAUUUAGAUGGUUUCAAAUCAUUUUACUGUAAAUAAAGUGUUGGUGAACAUUUUUACACAUAAGGAUUUUUUAUCUGAAUUUGAAAACAUUUUCUUUGGUUAUUUCAAAAAUAAAAUUAUU
Molecule: long non-coding RNA, 2419 nt
Organism: Talpa occidentalis (Iberian mole)
Lineage: Eukaryota; Metazoa; Chordata; Mammalia; Eulipotyphla; Talpidae
Exons: 4
Source: RefSeq, a predicted model, not a curated record